This 497-nucleotide ribosomal RNA is filed under the name uncultured bacterium. RNAcentral's name for it is "partial 16S ribosomal RNA". It matches the Rfam family "Bacterial small subunit ribosomal RNA", at positions 28 to 507 of the family's 1533-position model. The record is from RNAcentral.
GAUGAACGCCUGCGUCUUGCCUAAUACAUGCAAGUCUAGCUAACAGACUAGGAGCUUGCUCCUCUGACGUUAGCGGCGUACGGGUGAGUAACACGUGGAUAACCUACCUAUCAGACUGGGUUUACUUCGGGAAACCGGCGCUAAUACCGGAUAAUAUAUUGAACCGCAUGGUUCAAUAGUGAAAGACGGUUUUGCUUUCACUUAUAGAUGGAUCCUCGCCGCAUUAGCUAGUUGGUAAGGUAACGGCUUACCAAGGCAACGAUGCGUAGCCGACCUGAGAGGGUGAUCGGCCACACUGGAACUGAGACACGGUCCAGAAGCAGACGGGAGGCGGCAGUAGGGAAACGUCCGCAAUGGGCGAAAGCCUGACGGAGCAACGCCGCGUGAGUGAUGAAGGUCAACGGAUAGUAAAACGCUGUUAUUAGGGAAGAACAAAUGUGUAAGUAACUAGGCACGUCUUGACGGUACCUAAACAGAAAGCCAAGGAUAACUACGAG